GACGAACGCUGGCGGCGUGCUUAACACAUGCAAGUCGAACGGAAAGGCCCUGCUUUUGUGGGGUGCUCGAGUGGCGAACGGGUGAGUAACACGUGAGUAACCUGCCCUUGACUUUGGGAUAACUUCAGGAAACUGGGGCUAAUACCGGAUAGGAGCUCCUGCUGCAUGGUGGGGGUUGGAAAGUUUCGGCGGUUGGGGAUGGACUCGCGGCUUAUCAGCUUGUUGGUGGGGUAGUGGCGUACCAAGGCUUUGACGGGUAGCCGGCCUGAGAGGGUGACCGGCCACAUUGGGACUGAGAUACGGCCCAGACUCCUACGGGAGGAAGGAGUGGAGAAUAUUGCACAAUGGGCGGAAGACUGAUGCAGCAACGCCGCGUGCGGGAUGCCGGCCUUCGGGUUGUAAACCGCUUUCGCCUGUGACGAAGCGUGAGUGACGGUAAUGGGUAAAGAAGCACCGGCUAACUACG
Molecule: ribosomal RNA, 466 nt
Filed under: uncultured bacterium
Lineage: Bacteria
Description: partial 16S ribosomal RNA
Rfam family: Bacterial small subunit ribosomal RNA
Source: RNAcentral